Molecule: long non-coding RNA, 1865 nt
Organism: Neofelis nebulosa (Clouded leopard)
Lineage: Eukaryota; Metazoa; Chordata; Mammalia; Carnivora; Felidae
Exons: 2
Source: RefSeq, a predicted model, not a curated record
UCUGAGGAGGAAAAAAAGAAAAAGGAUGUUACAUCAACUCCAGUUAGCCGCCAUGUUCCUCAUUCAGAAUGUUCGGUGGAAAGGAUGGCAGGAAGGAAGAUAAAAGGAACAAUUAAGUCCCCAGAAAGGAAUCUCGUGGCAAAGUCUGUAGUACAAAACAGAAGAACUUACUAAUUAAGAGCAUUCCCAUCACAAGCAAGCAAGCACAAAAUGAUGUAAAAUAAUCUUGAGAGGCAUUAGGAGGAGACAAGAUUUGAGCUGGUUUUUGAGGGGGAGGAGGACUCCCUAAGGUGUAAAGUAACUAAUGGCAGAGGCUAGCCCCUGUCGGAGCCUGACCAGCAGCUUCAGAGCCCUUCCUUCUCUCACAGUUCACAAAGACCAGCAGGCAAGAGCACGGGUGUGCACCUCAGACAGACGUUUCCGUCUGGCUCAUUAUGAACUCAGGUAAGUCGUUAACCUCUCUAGCUACCAAUAAAAUCGUAAGGGAAUUCAAUUCACGUAAUAUGUCUGGCACAUAAUAUCAGUCGGCCCAGUGUCACGUUACCAGUCAGCAUUUACUUUCCCCUGGGUGGUAAAACUGAAGAGGGUAGUUUGCAAAGACAUUUUACACAGGCAGGCUAGAAAUAAUGUUAUAUUUUCCUUUUACCUGCAAUCUUUAAGGAUAAACUCAUUCUUACUUAGCAUUAUUUUAGAACAAGGGCAGGCCAUACAGCCCCUGUCCUAACUAUGUCUCAACUCUGUUGCUGUAUGUAAACGAAUGUGGCUAUUUGCAAAGGGUGGUGGCUGGAUUGGGCCUGAGGACCUAGUCUGCUGACCUCCAUUUUCAGAGAGUGUAUAAGCCUAAAUGUUUGGUGGGAAGGAAUAUGCUAUUGAUAAGGAAUUUAAAAAGUUUAAAUAGCUGGGGCUGACAGUAGUAAAGCCAGCAUCUAGAGUCUUGGUUAUAAGCUUCUUAGAAUAUGAACAAGACAAUUAAAUUAUAGUUACAAAACAAAGCCUGCCUGGGAGUCAGAUCUUGCCUAUCAGUCCUAACAGGGUGACCCUUGGGCACAUUUACCUCUGGGCUCUAAAGACUAUAUGGAAAUUCUAUGGUUAAGUCCUAACACUUAAGGGCUGAUGCUCAGAAGACCGAAGGAAUCUGCCAUAUUGGCCAACCGGCUGCCAGCACAGCAGGUCCACGCUCCAGAAGCAGCACGGUCAGGGACUGUUUGGCCAAACACCGUACUUCAAGAGGUGUUAAGUCCUGACUCUCCAUUCAAGAUUUAAAUAGAGGAUGGGACACCUGGGUGGUUCAGUCGGUUAAGCAUCCGAGUUCGGCUCGGGUCAUGAUCUCAUGGUUCGUGGCCAGGAGCCUGCUUCAGAUCCUGUGUCUCCCUCUCUCUUUGCCCACCUCCCACUUGUGCUCGCUCUCAAAAAUAAACAUUAAAAGAUUAAAUCCAUCAUCUAAGUUCAUAAGUCAUCCAGAGACUGCUAUAAACAUCUGAAGUUAUUUUUUACCAAGAUUUUACUUUUUUUUUUUUUCCCCCGGUAAUCUCUAUACCCAACAUGGGGCUUGAACUCACGACCCCAAGAUGAAGAGUUACAUGCUCUACCUCCUAAGCCAGCCAGGUGCCCCUAGACAUCUAAUUUGAUUUGAUAAAACAUUCUGAGCACAGUUGUUGGAAACUGCAAAAUCAGCAUGUGUCAACUAAAAGUCUUGUGCCUUUUACUUUAGAGACUGAACUUCCUUCCUGCUUCAAGGAACUGGUGUAAGUGAGGAUGCAUUUCACUAUCUUGCAGAAGAGCUCCUGACCGACAUGGAUUUAGAAUUUACAAGUGUGUAUACCGUAUUUAGAAGCAAAAGUAUUACAUUUCUUUCAUCAGAAGUC